UGGGUUGUGGCCAAAGGGUAAGGCACCAGUUUUUGGAGUUGGGGAUUGUAGGUUCGAAUCCUUCCAGCCCAG
RNAcentral lists this transfer RNA (72 nucleotides) under Labyrinthula sp. RNAcentral describes it as "tRNA-Gln". It matches the Rfam family "tRNA". From Rfam's summary of the family: Transfer RNA (tRNA) molecules are approximately 80 nucleotides in length. Their secondary structure includes four short double-helical elements and three loops (D, anti-codon, and T loops). The record is from RNAcentral. Lineage: Eukaryota; Bigyra; Labyrinthulida; Labyrinthulaceae.